GUGCUUGCUCUGGCAGCACACAUGCUGAAAUUGGGGCACUGCCGAGAAGAUCGACAUGGGCCCUGCACAAGGACAACAUGCAAGUUCAGGAGCAUUCCACUGUUUAU
Molecule: small nuclear RNA, 107 nt
Organism: Phyllostomus discolor (pale spear-nosed bat)
Lineage: Eukaryota; Metazoa; Chordata; Mammalia; Chiroptera; Phyllostomidae
Source: RefSeq, a predicted model, not a curated record